This 164-nucleotide small nuclear RNA is filed under the name Gopherus evgoodei (Goodes thornscrub tortoise). RNAcentral describes it as "U1 spliceosomal RNA (ENSGEVG00005012874.1)". It matches the Rfam family "U1 spliceosomal RNA". From Rfam's summary of the family: U1 is a small nuclear RNA (snRNA) component of the spliceosome (involved in pre-mRNA splicing). Its 5' end forms complementary base pairs with the 5' splice junction, thus defining the 5' donor site of an intron. Lineage: Eukaryota; Metazoa; Chordata; Testudines; Testudinidae. The record is from Rfam by way of RNAcentral.
AUACUUACCUGGGAGGGGAAAUACCAUAAUUGUGGAGAUGGUUUUCCCAGGGUGAGGCUCAUCCAUUGCACUGUGGGUGUGCUGACCUCUGUGAUUUCCCCAAAUGCUGGAAACUCGACUGCAUAAUUUGUGGUAGUGGGAGACUGCGUCCUAGCUGUCUCCUG